Molecule: ribosomal RNA, 253 nt
Filed under: uncultured bacterium
Lineage: Bacteria
Description: partial 16S ribosomal RNA
Rfam family: Bacterial small subunit ribosomal RNA
Source: RNAcentral
UACAGAGGGUGCGAGCGUUAAUCGGAAUUACUGGGCGUAAAGCGCACGUAGUCGGCUUUGCAAGUCGGGUGUGAAAUCCCCGGGCUUAACCUGGGAACUGCAUUUGUGACUGCAUAGCUAGAGUACGGUAGAGGGGGAUGGAAUUCCGCGUGUAGCAGUGAAAUGCGUAGAUAUGCGGAGGAACACCGAUGGCGAAGGCAAUCCCCUGGACCUGUACUGACGCUCAUGCACGAAAGCGUGGGGAGCAAACAGG